Molecule: non-coding RNA, 72 nt
Organism: Phrynosoma platyrhinos (Desert horned lizard)
Lineage: Eukaryota; Metazoa; Chordata; Lepidosauria; Squamata; Phrynosomatidae
Source: the annotation of a GenBank genome assembly
GGCAGCGUGGCGCAGUGGUUUGAGUGCUGGACUACAACUCUAGAGACCCGGGUUCGAAUCCUCGCUCAGCCA